Molecule: non-coding RNA, 27 nt
Filed under: Rattus norvegicus (Norway rat)
Lineage: Eukaryota; Metazoa; Chordata; Mammalia; Rodentia; Muridae
Source: RNAcentral
UGAAAAAUUCCACAGGACAAAUAUUUC